This 252-nucleotide ribosomal RNA is filed under the name uncultured bacterium. Its description in RNAcentral is "partial 16S ribosomal RNA". It matches the Rfam family "Bacterial small subunit ribosomal RNA", at positions 524 to 776 of the family's 1533-position model. The record is from RNAcentral.
UACGUAGGGGGCAAGCGUUGUCCGGAUUUAUUGGGCGUAAAGAGCGUGUAGGCGGCCGUACAGGUCAGCUGUGAAAACUCGAGGCUCAACCUCGAGACGUCGGUUGAAACCGUACGGCUAGAGUCCGGAAGAGGAGAGUGGAAUUCCCGGUGUAGCGGUGAAAUGCGCAGAUAUCGGGAAGAACACCCGUGGCGAAGGCGGCUCUCUGGGACGGUACUGGCGCUGAGACGCGAAAGCGUGGGGGCGAACAGG